AACGAACGCUGGCGGCAGGCUUAACACAUGCAAGUCGAACGCUCCGCAAGGGGAGUGGCAGACGGGUGAGUAACGCGUGGGAAUCUACCCAUCCCUACGGGAUAACGCAUGGAAACGUGUGCUAAUACCGUAUACGCCCUACGGGGGAAAGAUUUAUCGGGGAUGGAUGAGCCCGCGUUGGAUUAGCUAGUUGGUGGGGUAAAGGCCUACCAAGGCGACGAUCCAUAGCUGGUCUGAGAGGAUGAUCAGCCACAUUGGGACUGAGACACGGCCCAAACUCCUACGGGAGGCAGCAGUGGGGAAUAUUGGACAAUGGGCGCAAGCCUGUUCCAGCCAUGCCGCGUGAGUGAUGAAGGCCUUAGGGUUGUAAAGCUCUUUCACCGGAGAAGAUAAUGACGGUAUCCGGAGAAGAAGCCCCGGCUAACUUCGUG
This 431-nucleotide ribosomal RNA is filed under the name uncultured bacterium. RNAcentral describes it as "partial 16S ribosomal RNA". It matches the Rfam family "Bacterial small subunit ribosomal RNA", at positions 29 to 507 of the family's 1533-position model. The record is from RNAcentral.